Molecule: long non-coding RNA, 567 nt
Organism: Belonocnema kinseyi
Lineage: Eukaryota; Metazoa; Arthropoda; Insecta; Hymenoptera; Cynipidae
Exons: 3
Source: RefSeq, a predicted model, not a curated record
AAAGGAGUCCGAGGAACGAGUACUGCAAAAAUCGCGCGAGAUAAGAAAUGCCUUGCUCCCGUGGCGAAUACGAUAUUUUCUACAGCACAUGUUGGAAAUACGCGGAUUUCCUAGUCUUUUUGAAGCAAGCCGGAUCUGACUAGUUAUUUUCGAUUUUCGACUGAAGUAAAGAACAGAGAAAAGAAGUCCAUAACAGGGGAAAAAUUCAAUUCCGGAUGAAUCAGAACCACACAGUAUACCUGCAACAAAAAUUAGUCUUGGUAGUGUGAAUGGUACCACUACACAAGCAAUAUGAGAAGCUACAAGCAAGAAUGAAAAGAAGAUCGGUUCGGAGAUAUCCGAUUCACGGUGUGGGCCAUUGAGGGUCAUGAGCUUCGACAGAUUAAAUUCAAGGUAUACAAUUACGAGCGGCCACGAGCGUUGGAGGUGACAACAGUCAUCUUUGGAUGCUUUCUACGAACUAUCAUCUGCCACUCCACGGGUUUUUAGUCGCUCACUUACUGAUGGUCAAGAAAGUUUCUUACAAUGGGACAGGUGUUUAAUAAAACCGCCUUCUGACCUGCUGCC